GUUCUGUCUUCUUGGGCCUGGGCAAUGAUCUCAUACCAUGAUGAUGAUCUCAGAAGACAGGUAGGCAGACAGACAG
Molecule: microRNA precursor, 76 nt
Organism: Tupaia belangeri (northern tree shrew)
Lineage: Eukaryota; Metazoa; Chordata; Mammalia; Scandentia; Tupaiidae
Source: Ensembl